CAAACUUUGUCCAGCCGGACCAGCAACGUUUGGAAAGAUAAUUCGACAAAGGUUUCCAAAACUGACAACCAGGAGACUAGGAACUCGAGGGCAAUCAAAGUAAGUUCAGUCCAUAUGGACCAUUCUGGUAGUUCUAACUGAAAAAACUAGUCCAACAGGAAUGGGCGAGUGAGGAUGCCUCAUUGUUAAUUCUUGUGUUUUAGAUUUGAGAAAAAAAAA
Orbicella faveolata is the source of this 219-nucleotide long non-coding RNA. The record is from RefSeq and is a predicted model, not a curated record. Lineage: Eukaryota; Metazoa; Cnidaria; Anthozoa; Scleractinia; Merulinidae.